GGGUGGGGUAAGUAACGUAGACGAAAGUUACGCUAAUACCGCAUAAGCCCUGAGGGGAAAGUGGGGGACCGCAAGGCCUCACGCGAAUGGAGCGGCCGAUGUCAGAUUAGCUAGUUGGUGGGGUAAAGGCCCACCAAGGCGACGAUCUGUAGCGGGUCUGAGAGGAUGAUCCGCCACACUGGGGCUGAGACACGGCCCAGACUCCUACGGGAGGCAGCAGUGGGGAAUUUUGGACAAUGGGCGAAAGCCUGAUCCAGCAAUGCCGCGUGAGUGAUGAAGGCCUUAGGGUUGUAAAGCUCUUUUACCAGGGAUGAUAAUGACAGUACCUGGAGAAUAAGCUCCGGCUAACUCCGUG
This 355-nucleotide ribosomal RNA is filed under the name uncultured bacterium. RNAcentral's name for it is "bacterial SSU rRNA". It matches the Rfam family "Bacterial small subunit ribosomal RNA", at positions 134 to 507 of the family's 1533-position model. The record is from RNAcentral.